Molecule: ribosomal RNA, 204 nt
Filed under: Photorhabdus luminescens
Lineage: Bacteria; Pseudomonadati; Pseudomonadota; Gammaproteobacteria; Enterobacterales; Morganellaceae
Description: partial 16S ribosomal RNA
Source: RNAcentral
UGGGGACUUUCACUUUCCAGCUCGAACGGUACAGGAAGAGCUUGCUGCUUUGCUGACGAGUGGCGGACGGGUGAGUCCUGUCAGUGAAACUGCCUGAUGGAGGGGGAUAACUACUGGAACCUUCUUCUAAUACCGCAUAACGUCGCAAGACCAAAGAGGGGGAUCUUUCUGGCCUUUUGCCAUCGGAUGUGCCCUUAUCUCUUA